CAGAUUAUAGCAUAUAUUUAAUGUAUUUUACUUACACUAGAAAGAAAUUUUUUUUAAUCUGA
This 62-nucleotide transfer RNA is filed under the name Whitmania laevis. RNAcentral describes it as "tRNA-Val". The record is from RNAcentral. Lineage: Eukaryota; Metazoa; Annelida; Clitellata; Hirudinida; Haemopidae.